UUUUGAUUCUUUGCUGCGGAAGUUGCAGAAAUAUGUCCCUCAAGGCGCAUCAGUUGUCGAUCUCUAUGCAGGUGCUGGUGUAAUUGGGUUGUCUUUGGCUGUUUCAAGGAGAUGCAGGUCAGUUAAAUGUGUUGAGGUUAACAAAGAGUCCAGACAAUCUUUUGAGAAGACAGUGGAGCGCUUGCCUACAAAUGUCGAAAGCAAUAUCAGCUGGCACCAUGCAGACGCUUCAAUAGAACCAACUUCAUGGCUCUUGGGAUCGGAUGUUGUUGUGGUUGACCCUCCGAGGAAAGGACUUGACCCGUCCUUGGUGAAGGAACUACGGCACAUCUCAGCAGUGGAACUCAG
RNAcentral lists this unclassified non-coding RNA (348 nucleotides) under Hevea brasiliensis (rubber tree). The record is from RNAcentral. Lineage: Eukaryota; Viridiplantae; Streptophyta; Magnoliopsida; Malpighiales; Euphorbiaceae.